Molecule: ribosomal RNA, 492 nt
Filed under: uncultured bacterium
Lineage: Bacteria
Description: partial 16S ribosomal RNA
Rfam family: Bacterial small subunit ribosomal RNA
Source: RNAcentral
AGUGAACGCUGGCGGUAGGCCUAACACAUGCAAGUCGAACGGCAGCACAGUAAGAGCUUGCUCUUACGGGUGGCGAGUGGCGGACGGGUGAGGAAUACAUCGGAAUCUACUUUUUCGUGGGGGAUAACGUAGGGAAACUUACGCUAAUACCGCAUACGACCUACGGGUGAAAGCAGGGGAUCUUCGGACCUUGCGCGAUUGAAUGAGCCGAUGUCGGAUUAGCUAGUUGGCGGGGUAAAGGCCCACCAAGGCGACGAUCCGUAGCUGGUCUGAGAGGAUGAUCAGCCACACUGGAACUGAGACACGGUCCAGACUCCUACGGGAGGCAGCAGUGGGGAAUAUUGGACAAUGGGCGCAAGCCUGAUCCAGCCAUACCGCGUGGGUGAAGAAGGCCUUCGGGUUGGAAAGCCCUUUUGUUGGGAAAGAAAAGCAGCAGGUUAAUACCCCGCUGUUCUGACAGUACCCAAAGAAUAAGCACCGGCUAACUUCGUG